UUAACUCAAAUUUGUAUGGAGUCGGAACGUUUGCCUACGUUUGCCGCUAGGGGCGCUGUUCCUACUCCAUACAAAAUUGAGUUA
This is a non-coding RNA of Bombyx mori (domestic silkworm), 84 nucleotides long. Lineage: Eukaryota; Metazoa; Arthropoda; Insecta; Lepidoptera; Bombycidae. The record is from Rfam.